RNAcentral lists this transfer RNA (69 nucleotides) under Balanoglossus carnosus. RNAcentral describes it as "tRNA-His". It matches the Rfam family "tRNA". From Rfam's summary of the family: Transfer RNA (tRNA) molecules are approximately 80 nucleotides in length. Lineage: Eukaryota; Metazoa; Hemichordata; Enteropneusta; Ptychoderidae. The record is from RNAcentral.
GCACGCAUAAGUUAACGAAACUUCUAGUCUGUGGCACUAAAAACAGCGGUUAGACUCCGCUUGCGCGCC